GACGAACGCUGGCGGCGUGCUUAACACAUGCAAGUCGAACGGAAAGGCCCUGCUUUUGUGGGGUGCUCGAGUGGCGAACGGGGGAGUAACACGUGAGUAACCUGCCCUUGACUUUGGGAUAACUUCAGGAAACUGGGGCUAAUACCGGAUAGGAGCUCCUGCUGCAUGGUGGGGGUUGGAAAGUUUCGGCGGUUGGGGAUGGACUCGCGGCUUAUCAGCUUGUUGGUGGGGUAGUUGCUUACCAAGGCUUUGACGGGUAGCCGGCCUGAGAGGGUGGCCGGCCACAUGGGGCCUGCGAGACGGACCAGACUCCUACGGGAGGCAGCAGGGGGGAAUCUUGCACAAUGGGCGGAAGCCUGAUGCAGCAACGCCGCGUGCGUGAUGCCGUCCUUCGGGUUGUAAACCGCUUUCGCCUGUGACGAAGCGUGAGUGACGGUACUGAGUAAAGAAGCCCCGGCUAACUACGUG
This 468-nucleotide ribosomal RNA is filed under the name uncultured bacterium. RNAcentral describes it as "partial 16S ribosomal RNA". It matches the Rfam family "Bacterial small subunit ribosomal RNA", at positions 28 to 507 of the family's 1533-position model. The record is from RNAcentral.